Molecule: long non-coding RNA, 912 nt
Filed under: Cricetulus griseus (Chinese hamster)
Lineage: Eukaryota; Metazoa; Chordata; Mammalia; Rodentia; Cricetidae
Description: lncRNA (ENSCGRG00015036679.1)
Source: RNAcentral
UUGGCUCUUUGUACUCGGUGUGUGAAUAUUUACCCAAGGAUCUGCUGCUUCCCUAAGCCUUAGCAGGGUUAUUGUCUUGCAGAUGGUACCAGCACCCAUAAUGAUUGGCUACUAGGGUGUUUGCCUCAGCUAGAAGCAAGGAAUGAAGGAAAUCAGCAUGCUAGCAGUUCCAGAUGCUCUCCAGCCUCCGUGAAUUACCACUUGAAAAAAAUUCUACCUGAAACAGCAAGGACGGACAGCCACGCCUUCUAAACCUGGAGGUCACUUCAUUUUACUGGAACAAGGACUGCAAUCUUGUCCAAGAAGAGGCAGGACGUAGUGACGCAGAUCAUCUCUUCGAUGACGGUUGCAUCCGUGGAAGAUAGACUCCUUUGCUAUUCUAACCUCACGUAACUCAUAACUUAACCUGCCUGGCACCUGCUUCUUUUUGUGUGAGUCUCCAGUCUUAUCUCCAUCAUCAGCUCUCUGAACUAUUUUGGCUUCCCAGGAUGAGCAUCCAGGAGAGAAAUGGGAAACAGAGUAGGUAAGCCUUGAGUUGGUGGCAUCUGGGCUGUGACAAAGUCUUGUUGAAGGCCUCAGCUGACCCUGCAGUGAGCUCUGGAACAAUAUGGCCUCUCAGAGGUACACUUUUAGAGGUUCAGCCUAUUAUCAACAUGGUGGGAAGCAUGGCGGCAUGCAGGCAGAUGUCAGUGCUGGAGCUGAGAGUGCUACAUCUUGCAGGCAACAGGAAGUCAACUGACACACUGGGCGGUAUCCUGAACAUAGAAAACCUCAAAGCCCGCCCCCCAGUGACACACUUCCUCCAACAAGCCUUACCCACUUCAACAAAGCCACACCUCCUAAUAGUGCCACUCCCUAUGAGAUUAGGGUGUCAUGUUGGACACUUAUCCCUCUGGAACCACAAGCCCCAAU